Long non-coding RNA from Pogoniulus pusillus (Red-fronted tinkerbird), 1090 nucleotides. RefSeq lists it as uncharacterized. The transcript has 2 exons. Lineage: Eukaryota; Metazoa; Chordata; Aves; Piciformes; Lybiidae. The record is from RefSeq and is a predicted model, not a curated record.
GGUAGUAUCACCAUUCUGUUCCUGCUGCUCUUCGUUUUAACACGUGGCCGUCAGUCCACAAGGGUGGGCAAAACCCAUUGCUAUCAAUCUGGUUGUAAGUGCAUAAAGUGCUUGUGAAUGGUUCCGAGAUGCUCUGGCAGAUGCUGUAUGGGAAGCUUUCAGGCUUCUGCAAAGAGGAAGAAGACACAACACUCUCUGAAGUGGUACCAUCGGAACAUGUAAUGUAGAUGUGCCAAUAAUUACUAAGUAGUCCCCCUUGUACCUCCAUCUGUGAAUCUGUUAUUUGCGUUUUGCAGUAAUGCACAGACAGGUAGAAAUAUACUCACUGUCUGCCUCAGCCUCAGGGCUACUAUCUCCAGUUCCAGGUGACAACAGCUUGCAUGCCAUGUUCUGUACCCUGCUGUCUGCCACCUUUUGCUCCUCUUGGUUCCAGUUCUUCUGUGGGUGUCCCCAAAGCAUUGGUAGAUGUUCUCUAGAGCAACAGUUAUAAAUCAACCCAAAAGCGUUGUGGCCUUUGCUCUUUUUUUUUGCCUUUAGACAUUUGGACAGUGCAGAAAUCCAGGCAGUCACCUUUCACAGCUUGCCAUGUGAAGUGCAGGGAGCUCCCUAGAUGAGGUUUUUCUAAAUUUCUCUUGCUCUGGCUGACUUGUGAUUCACCCAGUGGGGGACUGUUGUGAGAACAUGGUGACAACUGAGCAAAAGAAAAUACAGAACAACACUUGGGGCAAAGCUCCUUGGCAGUGAGAUUAAUUGAGCUUCUCAAGGGGACGCACUGGGAGCACUGUUGUCUGAGAUGUUUAAAAUUGUCUAGGUCAGAAUUUGCAGAGAGUAGUCCUGUCUGGCAAAUGGACAUUCUCAUGGCAAUCGUGGUUCUUUCUCCUCUCUGACAGCUUUUAUUUAUUAUUACUAUUUAUUGUUUUAUUAGCUUCAGAUCGUUGCCUUCACCUCUAGUUCAAUUUUGUUCUGUAUGCUAUACAGUCCAUAAUAAGCACGGUACUAAAUGAUAUGCUUUUGUGCUGAUGCAGUGCUUGUUUGUUUCCCAGUGGAGCAAGGUGAUAUAAGCACAUACAUUAAAUAUAUUUAUGACAAA